This 91-nucleotide transfer RNA is filed under the name Microbispora rosea subsp. rosea. RNAcentral's name for it is "tRNA-OTHER". The record is from RNAcentral. Lineage: Bacteria; Bacillati; Actinomycetota; Actinomycetes; Streptosporangiales; Streptosporangiaceae.
CGGAGUUACCUGAACGCCGUUGGGCUGCGAAAACGCCUACUCCAACGUCCUGGGGGUCAAGGGGUCGUGGGUUCAAAUCCCGCCGUCCCGA